UGAGGAAUAUUGGACAAUGGAGGAAACUCUGAUCCAGCCAUGCCGCGUGAGUGAAGAAGGCCUUAGGGUUGUAAAGCUCUUUCAAUAGUGAAGAUAAUGACGGUAACUAUAGAAGAAGCCCCGGCUAAAUUCGUGCCAGCAGCCGCGGUAAUACGAAUGGGGCAAGCGUUGUUCGGAAUCACUGGGCUUAAAGCGUGCGUAGGCGGAAAUGAAAGUCAGAAGUGAAAGCCCCGGGCUCAACCCGGGAACUGCUUUUGAAACUCCAUUUCUAGAAUCCGGUAGAGGUCAGGAGAAUUCCUAGUGUAGAGGUGAAAUUCGCAGAUAUUAGGAGGAAUACCAGUGGCGUAGGCGCCUGACUGGGCCGGUAUUGACGCUGAGGUACGAAAGCGUGGGGAGCAAACAGG
RNAcentral lists this ribosomal RNA (404 nucleotides) under uncultured bacterium. RNAcentral's name for it is "bacterial SSU rRNA". It matches the Rfam family "Bacterial small subunit ribosomal RNA", at positions 355 to 776 of the family's 1533-position model. The record is from RNAcentral.